UGGGGAAUAUUGCACAAUGGGCGCAAGCCUGAUGCAGCCAUGCCGCGUGUAUGAAGAAGGCCUUCGGGUUGUAAAGUACUUUCAGCGAGGAGGAAGGCGUUGUGGUUAAUAACCGCAACGAUUGACGUUACUCGCAGAAGAAGCACCGGCUAACUCCGUGCCAGCAGCCGCGGUAAUACGGAGGGUGCAAGCGUUAAUCGGAAUUACUGGGCGUAAAGCGCACGCAGGCGGUCUGUCAAGUCGGAUGUGAAAUCCCCGGGCUCAACCUGGGAACUGCAUCCGAAACUGGCAGGCUAGAGUCUUGUAGAGGGGGGUAGAAUUCCAGGUGUAGCGGUGAAAUGCGUAGAGAUCUGGAGGAAUACCGGUGGCGAAGGCGGCCCCCUGGACAAAGACUGACGCUCAGGUGUGAAAGCGUGGGGAGCAAACA
RNAcentral lists this ribosomal RNA (427 nucleotides) under uncultured bacterium. RNAcentral's name for it is "partial 16S ribosomal RNA". It matches the Rfam family "Bacterial small subunit ribosomal RNA", at positions 355 to 774 of the family's 1533-position model. The record is from RNAcentral.